RNAcentral lists this ribosomal RNA (496 nucleotides) under uncultured bacterium. RNAcentral's name for it is "partial 16S ribosomal RNA". It matches the Rfam family "Bacterial small subunit ribosomal RNA", at positions 28 to 507 of the family's 1533-position model. The record is from RNAcentral.
GAUGAACGCUGGCGGCGUGCCUAAUACAUGCAAGUCGAGCGAACAGACGAGGAGCUUGCUCCUUCGACGUUAGCGGCGGACGGGUGAGUAACACGUAGGUAACCUACCUAUAAGACUGGGAUAACUUCGGGAAACCGGAGCUAAUACCGGAUAAUAUUUCGAACCGCAUGUUCGAUAGUGAAAGAUGGCUUUGCUAUCACUUAUAGAUGGACCUGCGCCGUAUUAGCUAGUUGGUAAGGUAACGGCUUACCAAGGCAACGAUACGUAGCCGACCUGAGAGGGUGAUCGGCCACACUGGAACUGAGACACGGUCCAGACUCCUACGGGAGGCAGCAGUAGGGAAUCUUCCGCAAUGGGCGAAAGCCUGACGGAGCAACGCCGCGUGAGUGAUGAAGGUUUUCGGAUCGUAAAACUCUGUUAUUAGGGAAGAACAAACGUGUAAGUAACUGUGCACGACUUGACGGUACCUAAUCAGAAAGCCACGGCUAACUACGUG